UUGAAUAUAAAGAAAAGACGAACAGCUCAGUAACUCUUAUUUUAUUUGAUGUAUUAGGAUUAUAACUAUGUUAAAUUAUAGAUAACAAUAAUACAAUAAGAAUAAGAUCUAUCAGUUAGUUGUUAAGGUAAUGGCUUAACAAGACUAUGACGGAUAACGGUAUUACUUUGUAAUAUUCCGGAGAAGGAGCCUGAGAGAUUGCUACUAAGUCUAAGGAUUGCAGCAGGGGCGAAACUUGACCUAUGAUAUGAUAUUGAGGCAGUUAUGAGUAGUAUUUUUAAUUAUUGUAGUAUUGUAAGUAUAUACUACAAGAUAAAUCGGAGGGCAAAUCGAGUGCC
RNAcentral lists this ribosomal RNA (338 nucleotides) under Nosema granulosis. Its description in RNAcentral is "SSU rRNA". It matches the Rfam family "Microsporidia small subunit ribosomal RNA", at positions 60 to 394 of the family's 1311-position model. The record is from RNAcentral. Lineage: Eukaryota; Fungi; Microsporidia; Nosematidae.